Molecule: long non-coding RNA, 1542 nt
Organism: Vigna radiata var. radiata (mung bean)
Lineage: Eukaryota; Viridiplantae; Streptophyta; Magnoliopsida; Fabales; Fabaceae
Exons: 2
Source: RefSeq, a predicted model, not a curated record
UGUUUUGUGGUGUGCAUGGACGCCAGGUGUCUGCUGUAGAGGGAACAAGAGGGUUUCAGUUUUGUGUGGCCAUGGACCAUAGAUGGCAUAAGAAAAAUAUUGGUAUUUGGUUUGGGUUUAUUUAUGAUUGGAUAUUUUUCUUUGGCUGUGUUAUGGAGAAAGAAAGAAGGUAGUGUGUAAGUGGCACAUAGGCAUGAUAGAGAUUCCGAUUUGAAUCACCGGGUCGAGAACCCGCCAUGUGGAUUUAGAUGUGGUCAUCCUCACUUCAUUUGAUCUUCCUUUCUCUCUCCUAUCAACACUCAUCAUUCAUUCAACAACUCCAUAACUUCUAAUCCCAUUUCAUCCGUCUGCGAUUCACGCGCCACUUCCUCGGGCCCACACCCACGUGCCUUCUGCCACCUAGCCAUUCCUUAUUCAAUUUUCUUUUGCUUCUCACAUUCUUCCAAACACCAAACCGUGUAUACUGUUUCAAGUUUGAUUCCUGUGUGCGCUGACAACCAGCGUCCACGACGCCGUUUCGUUUUCCUGUUCUCCCUAAUUUUCCAGACAAGGAAGGUUUAUGCUGCUGGCUGGGUCAACUUUGGCGGUUUUCUCCUGCUGGAGAAUUUUAAUUUUCAUUCGCAAAAAAAUCUUUUCAAGAAGAAUAAGGUUUGCCUGUUAAUUCUCCUUCAGGUUGUCGGUACAUUAUUUUUUUUUUCUUGUAUAUAUCCUAUACCGCUUUAUUCAUCCAGAAUUCUUCAGAGAAACUAUUUAUCAACUUUUUCAUGAAAGUGAUUGAUUAUAUUAGGAUUAUUUUGAUCUAUCUACAGAUUAAUUUGAUGGCUAACGAGUUCAAUGCAGGUCUGGUCAUGUUCUUUCCAUUUUUUUUCCUUCAAUAUUAAAUCCAUGUUUUGUUUAUGACUAUAACAAACUACCUAUAAUGGUAAAAAGUUAGAAAUUUUAUCAUGUUAUGAAGAUAGAGAGAAUCACACUAAUACUCACAGGAUAAUUAUGUCUAUAUUGUCAGGCUCCACGAACUACAUCUACAAAAAAGAGGUUUCAAUUUUGACUGGAGUUUAAAAUGCUUGACACCCUUGUCACUGCACCUCAUUCCUUCCAUUUGUAUCUCAUUGUAGGUCAAAGUAGGGUACUGCUAUUGUGGUUGAAUAACAUGAAGUUGCUGAAAAUUCUGUGCUUAAGGUCAAAACAGUCCACCUUGAAUUUGAAUUUUUGUGUUUGUUGAUGUGAAUGUGUAUUAUUUAGAAACUGUUAUCUUCCUUGUGCCACGUAUAUUCCAGUCUCGGUUUUCUUCCUGCAAUAGUUAGUUAGUGUUCAUGAAAGGGAAAUGAGUUAUGGAAUGUUAGUGUGCGUCAAUUCUCAUUGUCGGGAGGUGCAAAUUUUCCACAACCAGAAGUUGAAGGAGGAGACAAAUAGAAAACAAAAAAUGUUUUGUUUUUCACGUGUGAUGGCAUGUAACACGGCCCAACUUAUUGGGUUGAAUAAAAAAUUUUCUAGACAUUUCAAACGUGGUAGCUCCUACUAUAUACACCCCGUUCCACUGCC